AACGAACGCUGGCGGCAGGCCUAACACAUGCAAGUCGAGCGAGGACUUCGGUCCUAGCGGCGGACGGGUGAGUAACGCGUGGGAACGUGCCCUUUGCUACGGAAUAGCCCCGGGAAACUGGGAGUAAUACCGUAUGUGCCCGAGAGGGGAAAGAUUUAUCGGCAAAGGAUCGGCCCGCGUUGGAUUAGGUAGUUGGUGGGGUAAUGGCCUACCAAGCCGACGAUCCAUAGCUGGUUUGAGAGGAUGAUCAGCCACACUGGGACUGAGACACGGCCCAGACGCCUACGGGAGGCAGCAGUGGGGAAUCUUAGACAAUGGGGGAAACCCUGAUCUAGCCAUGCCGCGUGAGCGAUGAAGGCCUUAGGGUUGUAAAGCUCUUUCAGUGGGGAAGAUAAUGACGGUACCCACAGAAGAAGCCCCGGCUAACUCCGUGCCAGCCGCCGCGGUAA
This 449-nucleotide ribosomal RNA is filed under the name uncultured bacterium. RNAcentral describes it as "partial 16S ribosomal RNA". It matches the Rfam family "Bacterial small subunit ribosomal RNA", at positions 29 to 523 of the family's 1533-position model. The record is from RNAcentral.